This is a long non-coding RNA of Drosophila albomicans, 519 nucleotides long. RefSeq lists it as uncharacterized. The record is from RefSeq and is a predicted model, not a curated record. The transcript is spliced from 2 exons. Lineage: Eukaryota; Metazoa; Arthropoda; Insecta; Diptera; Drosophilidae.
ACUGACUUCUUCAGUUCCAAUGGGAAUAUUGUGAAUUUGAUAAGUACCACACAGUUUGUUUAUAAUAGGCAUUGGUCCAGAGACUAGAUCCACCAGAUAGAGGUACUGUCGAGGUAUACAAGCAUCUGUUUCCUGGAGCACAAUAAAUGAUAUUAACGGAUAACUUCUGCUUCACACAUAAUUCAUUAAUCAGAUCAGACAUAUCAUUCUUGUCUUCACAAGCGAAUGCAUAUAAAUCACGCUGUCGAAUAAGGUUCUCCAAACACAUAGCCGCAUCAGGGCUUUUAAUAUUUAACUGCAAUAAAUUUAAUUAUUUAGAUUCACCGAAAAGGAUUAUUAUGAUACUUACUUCAAAUAUCAUUGGAUCGUAAAUAUUGGACUUAUAUUUGUGCUUAUUUUCAGCAACCCAACUCAUGGCUUUGAUUAAAUUUGGAUUUUGGUUGCGCAAUUCCUAAAAAAAAAUAUGGUUUGAUAUUUAAUAAAGUACACACAUUAUGAUUAUGUCGUGUCUUACUUCAA